AAGAAUUACAAAAAUAUGAAAGCUCACCUGACAGGAACAGACUGUAGCAGAGAAGAUCUUGAUGUCUGCAGUUGAUCAGAUGAAGGAAAUGACCCGCCAGGUUCAGUCAGAGAUGAUGGCUGUACUGACCCAGAUGAAUGAAGAUGGGAUGGACCCUUGGCUCAUUUGCGGGUGCAGAGCCUUUCUCUAGAGAUGCUGUGAACGUCUUACUGCAGCCUACCAGAUCACAGAGAGAGAUUUACGUUUGAACUUGUUUCACAUCUACGCUAGGAAAAUGGACCAAAACAAUGUACACUAUACAGAUUUUCAUCCAAUCAAAUGCUGUAUGGAAUGAGAAAAUCCCUCCCUCUGUAACCAUCCAGUAAGUAGCAAAUCAUUACAGUGAGCCCUUUUAUUAUGUCCCAUCCAAAACGUCAUGAUUGAUAGGAAAUACAUCAAUAAAGAAGGUGAUUUAAUGGGAUCUAGAUGCACCAUAAUUCCAGUAAUUUUACUCUGCUAGCCAUCUAUUCCUUUAUAUACAUUUGCAAUCUGCAUUAGAGAAGAGUACAUAAUGUUGUUCCUUUAAAUGCUGUUUAACUGCAGUACAUUUAUUUCUGUCCAGCUGUACUAUAACAUGACCAUACUGGGUAAUAAAUGAGUAAAUUGACCUUUUAAAUGUAAAACAACCAUUACAAUUAAACAAUGUCUCUAAUAAAUAAGGUUGAUUUGAAACCACCAACACAAAAAGGGAAAUCCUAAAUUCACCUCGUGUCAUCAAUAUUACUAUGAUGUUACCACAGCAACCAAUAAAGGAAAUGAAAUUAUAUCAGUGGUAAACGGCAAUGGAGCCUAUUCCUUUGUGUUUCAGUUCAAAUGGUAUAAGCAUCAAAUAUUUUAAAACCAGGAACUGCAUAAAGACAAAUGAGUUAAAUACUAAAACAAUUGAUUCAUUUAAAUAGCCAGGUGCAAAAAUACAGAAAGUCUUUGCAUGUGCUGAUUAAUAAAUGAAGCCCAAGAAUGACUUGAUCAUUAUAUUUAACAGACAACUCAAAUACAAGAGGCUAAUUUGACUGUCAUUGAGUGUAUAUCCAAUAC
Long non-coding RNA from Triplophysa rosa, 1074 nucleotides. RefSeq lists it as uncharacterized. NCBI's taxonomy places the organism in Eukaryota, Metazoa, Chordata, Actinopteri, Cypriniformes, Nemacheilidae. The transcript has 3 exons. The record is from RefSeq and is a predicted model, not a curated record.